RNAcentral lists this unclassified non-coding RNA (2722 nucleotides) under Pectinophora gossypiella (pink bollworm). RNAcentral's name for it is "neurotrimin". Lineage: Eukaryota; Metazoa; Arthropoda; Insecta; Lepidoptera; Gelechiidae. The record is from RNAcentral.
UUCCCGCCAACACGCGCGUUCUCUUUUCAAAUCGCUAUCAAACUGCGCGACCAUUGUUUUUAUUACUUUUUAAAACAAAAUAAUUUGUUUUUAAUUAGUUAAGAGGUUUUAGAUGCCUACCUACCGACUUAUUUUUUAAUUAUACAUAUUAGGUUAUUAAUUAAAAAUGUUGACAUUAAAGCAGAUAGUGAUAUUUUUACUAGUAAAUUCAGUGUUAAGUGAGAAAGUGUUCCAAAGUGUUCCAGUGACUGUGAAAACUUAUGAGAAUGAUACUGUUCUCUUACCCUGUUACAUAAAUGAUUCUGAAGCGAAGCUGCGCGUGCGCUGGUACAAAGACAACCAGCUACUCGGCGACAGUGCGGACCCCAACCACCUCCUCCCCCCGCGGACACGGAUGCACGCUAAUUAUAGUUUACAAGUUGACUUGCUGAAAGCUGAAGACACGGCUGAUUAUACUUGCGAGGUAAUCCGUCCAGAACCUUGGGGACCCAUAAGACAAACACAUUCUAUUGAAGUUCAAUACUCCCCAACUAUAAAGACGAUACCAGAAGACGGCUUCCUGGAGGUGAAGAAGGGAGAGUAUGUGGACAUCGGCUGCGACGUCUCCGGGACACCAGCACCUAUCGUGGACUGGAGGAAGAAUGGGGACCCAAUGGCUCUACUGGAGCACCGUUCCCGCAUCAGGUUCAAGGCUGAACACCGCCUGCUGGCCGGCGUGUACGAAUGUACCGCCAACAACGGAGUGGGGGCCCCUGUCAGCGCGCACAUACGUGUCCUUAUACAUGACGCCCCAGUAGUGACAGCUGAGCGUACAUUCGUGCAUACAGCGAUAGGGCUCCGCGCGGCGCUUGAGGCUCGCAUCGAGUUCGCCGUGCCGCCCGCGCGCACCGCUUGGUACCGGGAUGGGAGGCCCGUCCAGACCCAUGAUGACAGGAUAGUGAUGAUGGUAAAAGACAACCUGCACCAGCUGAUCUUCCGUUCUGUCCGUCUGUCUGACCUGGGCAACUACACCUUCAGAGCUCAGAACAAACUGGGCAUGGCUGACAUUGCCUUCAAACUUACAGGGGUUCCUAACGCCGCAUCAUUCAAAGUGGAUUCUGCGCUGAACAAACCAACAUCAACCAGUUUUACCCUUAUUUGGGAAGUAGACUCCUACUCUACUAUUAUUGAAUACAACCUAUGGCUGCGUCCAUACUUCGGCAGGACAUCAGAGGUUGACGGGAUCACGACGGAGCCGCCAGUCAACAUGUGGAGGAAGAUCGUCGUGCCUGGAGACGCUAAUGAUGGACCAAUCCAUAGCGCAAGGUACACCGUCAGAGGGCUAACUCCAUCCACUGUUUAUGAAGCUAUCGUCACUUCAAGGAACAGAUUUGGCUGGAGUAAACAAUCGGCCGUCUUGCAUUUCGCUACGGAGCCAGGAACGGGUCGUAGGCCAUCCACAGCAGACUACUCAGAAAUCACACCGUUACUGGAGGAACCAGAAUCGGACUCCGAGCCACAGGCACACAACAUCACUCAAGCUCAGGUGUUUGGGCGGGAAAGUUCAAGCGGGGCGCGGGAAACGCCAUCUUUGUCCGCCAUUUUGUUUAUCGUUGGAAGUUUAGUUUGUUUUGUCUCGUACAACCAUAACUCAGUUUAAUAUUCAAAUAAAGUACAUUACUUAUCAGUAAUUUAUAUCCUACAAAUGAGUUUUUACUUUUUUAAACAAAACUUUACCAGUUCGGCAAUAACUAUUAUGUAAGUGCCUACAACGCGCAAAACAAUGAAAAUUAAUAAUUAUUAACAUUUAAAAAGAAUAAAAUAUAUACGUAUUAUUUUCCCCAGAAAAUAAUGUAAAUAGGUAAGUUUAUUCAUUUGAUUCAUUAGCAAUGAAAGUUGAAAAUAUAUUGCCAGAGCUAAAUAACACCGCAAUUCGUCCAGAAAAUGAAUAAGUUAAAGAUUUAAUUAGUAUAUAAUGUUCCUUCUUUACUUUUAACUUUACUUCUAUAGCGCUAUUUUAUAAUUAAUAGUUAUUUAUAAGUUUAAAAUGUAAAUAAUUGACAUUAUAUUUUGCUAAUGAAAUAAAAAUUAUGUUUUAUUUCUCUUUUUAAGUCUUUCAGCCGGCUCGGGUAAGCAUCAUAUUAUUGCUACAAUUAAUAAACAACGAUAAUAUUUUUAUUACGAUUAUUUAUUCCAUAUUUCAAUACAUUUAAUUUUAUUAAUUAAACAACCAACUGACACCGCUGGGGCGCCUUACAAAUUUACUUUUUGGUUUGUUAUAAUUUUAUCUGCUUUUACAUAUUUCCCAAUGUAUUAAUUUUAACCUUAAAAAUAUAAUUUAAAAUUACUACAGUAAAUAUUUUUAAAGUCUCUUUAUAUUUCUAGCUUUUUAUGUUUAGUUUUUGGAAAACGGAAAAUAUUAUAAAUUGGAUAUAUCGCUUUUCGAUUUUUAGAUUAAAAAACAAAUAGUUAAAAUACAGUUCCUUAAUGUUAAACACUUAACAUUUAUUACAUUAUAUAAUUAAAAACUAGAAGAAUAAUUAAUGAAUUAAUUACGCGGAGUAAUAUUUUGUUCUGAAAAAAUAAGGUUCUUUCUUAUGUUGAGGUCCGUCACUCGAUAAUUCUGGUGUCUGUGUGUUACGGCCUUAACUAACAGCUUUUGGUUCCCGUCAUCUAAUGCUCGCAAUCACAUUUUCUAUGUCUACAUUCAAGAAAAUCGUGAUCGCAAUCGAAAAAUAUAAAA